Myiozetetes cayanensis is the source of this 12223-nucleotide RNA transcript. RefSeq lists it as uncharacterized. NCBI's taxonomy places the organism in Eukaryota, Metazoa, Chordata, Aves, Passeriformes, Tyrannidae. The record is from RefSeq and is a predicted model, not a curated record. The transcript is spliced from 14 exons.
CAAGGCCCCGGCUCCGUGGGUACCGCUCCCCUGCCCCGGCGCCAGCACCGCGUCCUGCUGCCCGCCCCGCCCGGCCCUUCCCUGCGGCCGCUGAGCCGGUGCGGAGCGCCAUCUCCGCCGCUCGGUGCCCCGCCAGGCUCCCCGUGUCUCCGCAACCUGCUCAGGAACCUUGCUAAGGAGAAAAAUGGAUUGGUUCCUUAUACCUAUUAAAUGCAUAUAAAUAUAUGUCUCUGUUGAGCUAGACCGGGGACUCGGAUGGCCGCGGACACCUCCCCGGCAGCCACGGCGCUGGAGCCGCGGUGAGGCAGCGCCGGAGAUGCUCGCAGGUGCCACCCUGCUGCUACGGUUACUUGCGGACUGCAGUCCCCGAGUGGAAAUAAAAAAUUUCCCAUAAAAGGAAUUUUAAUUAUACAACCGACCUCAUGAAUAUAUUUUUAUAUAUAUAUAUAUAUAUAAGAAAAAAAAAAAAAAAAAGGCUGUACGCACAGAGGGCGCAGGGGUAAAUCUGUAGCGAAGUGCCGAGCGGCGGUGCCGAGGCCCCGCACCGUCCCACCCCGGCCCCGCAGGUUGGAGGGCACCGCGGGCCUCCCUCCCUGCGGCGGGCAGCGCUCCCGCCGCGCCGGGGAGCCCCGCCGGCUGGCGCACCCUCGGGGCACGGGGAACCCCCGCGCAGGCUCUAGACCCUGCCGGACGGGGACUUCCUUUUGUUUGUUCUCAUUAUUUUCUUUGCGAAGAAGCAGGCGGUUCAUGCGGCGGUAUAAAGUUGGAUCUCUAAUAACAGUUAAAAAUUAAAAAAAUAGUUAAAAAUAAUUUAAAAAAAAAAGUUAAAAUGCAAACGCUUUACUAGGAAGCGUUUCACGCAGCUGGUGCAAAAUCAUUUUUAUUUUUUAUCUACGGGAAAGGUAAAACAGGUUUAUGAUUUUUUUUUUCUGUGAGAUAGCACUGUCAUCAAAAUACAGAUGCUUUUCCUACAUCAAUGAUUUUUCACUACAGCCUAAGGGCCUCUUGGCUUUAAAGCUCUAGUUAUUUUUGCUAAUAUAUCAAGAAUUUAACUCCUGACUAUUUCAUAAAUCAACUCCUGAUGCACUGUACAGUAUUUAUAUACUUAUUUUCAGACGUACAUUCUGGCUUAGUAGAUUGCCAACUCACCAUCUCAAUGCUUCAAAGCGAUGAUGCUGGGAAUUGUCAGCUCUGAAGACAAGGUUAGCUCACAGGAUCAGGAUGUGCUGUGUAAAAUGCUGAUUUAUGAAAGUGUUACAAUUCAUGUGUCUUGCAGGUUGAAUUGCAUGCAUUAUAUGAUCUGAAAUACACAAAGGAUUGAUCUGCAGUGUUUAUUUUAAAACAGAAUUCAUGUUGUCUCCAAAGGUGAGGGUGCCAGUGAUGUACCGGAGCAGAAGCUAGAAGGUCCAUCUUUCAACCCACCCCAGCCUGGAGAAGCUGUGGCAAAGCACUCCUGUACCCUGAUAACAAACCCCUGCGGCCUGACCCUCACCCCAGCAUUGCUGGGAGCAGUAAGCACUCUGCCCUGCCCUGCCCUGCCCUGCCCAGGGUGAAGAAUGCCUCCUGUGAGCCAAAUAGAUGCCUACUCAUUUUUUAAAAUCUUUUCUGACUUUGAUGAGCUCCUGACCAGCAGGUGACACAUCUUCGGGCCUACGAACUGCUGAGGGUGUUGCUUUCCCAUAUACAGUUGCUCUCUGACAAGCCUCAGUAGCCUCUGCAGCCAAGGGGACUCUGGGGGGCUCUGGCAGGCUUCAUUUUGCUGUCCUCCUGCCAGCCUGUGGAUAGUCUUUCCUAUUGUAGGUAGGCCUGUGGUGCUCAUGUGAAGGUGACAUCCAGUUCCAGGUUUGCAGUUAAUCAAGUCUACUUGCUCAAGUUGGACAAUUUAAUCAGUGCGUGAUGAAGCCUUGGAUAUAUCUGAGCUAUAUCACAUUAUCUUCAAAUAGAAAGCAAUCGUCAGAGGUUAGAUGGGGGGCACUAACGACAUAGUGGUAGUUGCUGCCUUGAUCCUGCGAGAAAUGCUGUGCAGUGACAUCACAGUACAGCAGCGUGAGCACAGCAGCCUGUACCGUGUGUGGUCAUUGCAAGGCCAAAGCCAUGGUAAGUCUCCUAUUCCCGGGACGCUCUCAUGCUGUUUAGUAACCAGAUUACAGCUUGGGUACGCAUUACUUAGCAACCCUUGCCAGGAACGCUUUUCGUCUGCCUGGUGAGAAGGCUGAGACUCUUCCUUCAGGGGCACUAUCAGAUAAGUGUCCUGUCACGUGUGCGCAGAGUUUUUGUGAUACAGUGGCAGGGCGAUGGGAGCUGAAGGCCACUCAGAUGUGGCACUGAAUGGCACUGUGUGACUUGGCCCUAUUUCUUGCAGAAAACACACUCCAUCCAUGUUUCAUGCCCUGCCCAGCCUGCUGCUUCAUCUCCAGGUGCAGAGGAAGGCAACUGCAGAAGUAGGAAAGUACUUCAAACUAGCAGAAGAUUUUUCACACAUGGUCUCUUUAUGAAGCGCCGUCUUGCUUUUCGUCUGGUCUGAAACAAGACUGCAAACCUGGCUCGAUCGGGAGUCUCCAUGUCCACCUGGAAGGCAAAUCCGGACGGCCGGAGGCGUUGCCGGCUGCCGGCGGUCUUGGCAGAGCCCCGCGUGUGCGGCUGCUCCAGGCCUUGCCAGGGUAUGUCUACCUUUCCUGUCCUUCGCUUUCGGGGUCCCUUCCCCGUGUGGGGAACCCCCAAAGCCGGCCAAAGGCUCCCGCGGGCGAGGAGCGCACCCCGCGCCGGCGGUGCGGAGCGCCGGGCUCGGCGCCGCCGGGAGCUGCUGGAGUGAGAACUUGAAAGGAGCCGUCGGUGGCGAGAAGAGGCGGACAAAGCAAGCGCCGGGCUACCGAACGCGGCGCUCUGCCGGCGAGUUUUAAGGCGCUUCAAGUCUAAAGGAGAAGUGACAGGGCAAUCAUCUCCCCGACUUGGCUGCGGAUGGGAGGGUGGAAUCUUGCUAACAGCUCGUGUAUCUGUAUAUUUAAUUGCGACCUGGCUGCAUGUUCCUGUUGAGGAAGGAUGCAGAUCACAAGCGAAUCUAUAAAAACGCAGUUGACAAGCCCGGGAAAGGGAUGACUGACAGAUGAAACGACAGUCAGCGCGGAGCUAACUGGCAAACGCAUCGGUACAAAGUCAGAUACCUUUUGAGAGGAGUAGUAGUUUGUUUUAUUCCGGUUCUCCAGAGUUUUAUCUACUGUCGGUGUGAUGGGGUAGAGAGGAGCUAAUGUGCCCUGUUUAGGAUACAAACAUGCAGAUUAGAUCAGGCUUCAGACACCGUGUUUCACUCAAGACUUAAGAACAGUUAGAGGAAUAAACCAGGCUUCCCCCACCGAGGAAAACAUGGAAUUUUCUUUUAAUGAUUUAAAGGUGAUUUAAACUUGUUUAAACACAACCGUUUCACAUACGGAUAUAGGGAGCUAUCGGGAGUUGAUGGGGUCGGGAGCUGGGGCCCGGAGCUCGCCGCCACCGUUGUGCGAGGCUGGGGCAUUGGGAAUAUCAGCCCAGAUCCCGUUUUCUUCACUUUUGUGUUACUUUAAGUUUUCAAUGAGGCUAGUGUAAUUACGAGGCGUUUAACUUUUUGCCAGACUCUUUCAUUAUGGCUUUGCAUUUGCACCUCGCUUUUAAGGGAAGUAAUAACAUUCACAGUCAGGGGCAAAUCCUGUUAAUGAACAAAUUAAAGUUCAAACAGUUAUUCAAGUUCACAGCCCCACUCGCUGCUCCUUUAAUAAGAGUUAUACAUGUUACUUUCUCUCGGGAUCACUCCCCCUUUUAUUACUUUUUAAGCUUUUCAUAAGCACUAGCGAGCUAUACGGCCAGCUCCCAGCCUUUAAAGAGCCCACAAAUCCUGAAGGGAGCCCUAAUCCGACCUUAAUUUGGCAACUUUUGUAAAAGACAUAAAAGCUCGGGUGCCACCCUUGUGCGCUCAGAUUAUAAUGUCAGGGGACAAGCCGGUGGAAGGCUCCCUCUAUCCCGCACCCACCUAUUUGAGUUGGCUCCCUCCUUCCGGAGCUGUUCAAAAAGGCUCCGUUAGUCCCUCACGGGUACCAGAAGAGAAAUUAGGGAGUCUGGUUGAUAUCCUGGGAAUUUCCACACCCUCCCACGAAAGCUCUACCUGGCUGUGCUGGGCGCGGUCUGCCGGGGCGGCCGGUCCUCCCAGCACGUCCCGCAGCGCUGCCCUUGGGCCGGAGCCCGUUGCCUGCCUUCAAGAGUAAGCAACGUGGAGUUAAAAAAAAAAACCAACCCCCCCCCGAAAAUAUAAAUCCUUGCGCUCUUCUUCUCUUCCCGCCCCUCUUCUUUUUCUCCAGACCUUGUGCGAUUAGACUGCGCUCACCUCGGCAUUUGCAUAACACGAAUCUAAAUUCCCCUUGUCAGGGGCUGCCCGGGCCCGGGGGAGCCGCGGCUCCCGGUGGGACCGGGCGGGGAGCGGGGCGGUGCCCCCGCGGGGCCGGGCUCCGGGCCGGGGGGCGGCGGGCAGAGUCCAACAAAGCCCGGGGAGUUUGACACUGGUUCACGGCAGCGCCGGUGCAAAAGCGCUGUCUACGUACAAACAGAGGAGAUCACACUCCCCAUUAUCUACCUCCUGGCGAGUGUUUGAUUUGUGACAUCAAAAGCUUAUCAAGGCAAGCAAAAAAAAAAAAAAAAAAAAGGAAGGGGAAAAAAGCACCUCUUCAUGGAGGGAGGUCGCUGCGGUUUGGGUGAUGCGGGGGAGGAGGAAGGGGCCGGUACUGACAAAAUGCCGCCGGUGCCAGGGAGGCGAUUCCUGUCCCGCCCGUGUCCCUGCGGGCCGAGCGGCGGGGCUGGUGCGGGGCCGGCCGCGGGUGCGGGGCGCUGCCGCGGGCGCGCAGAGCAGCGGGCGGGCGGGCUGGCCUCGGCGGAGGGCUGGAGGGAGGCCCUGAUUCCUCGCAGCCAUCCACACAGAAGUGGUUUGAUAUAAUCACCAUGACAACUGCCGCCUAUAAGCAUACAAAUAAUAGAGAUGAAAUAGACAAAAGAUUAGCAUGCCAUGAAAAGUACAAUAAGUUUCUUAUUUAGCAUUUAGAUAACUGUCUUUCCUUCGGAGCAGGCUUCAAAGUUGAACCCAGUUUAGACCAAGAGGAUUAAUUCUUUCUCCCGCAUGCUUCAUUGAAUCUCUCAUUACCAAACUUUGUCUGUAUUGAUGUAAGAUUUGAUUGAAGAUUAGAGCAUUUAGCAAAUCUUGCUUUUCUGCAUGUAUCAGGCCUUUUCAAGCGCAGACCGUGCUGCCCAGUGGUCAAUACCCUUACUUUUAUCCAGUGUCUGCUUCAUUUAAACUUAAUCAACUCCCUCAAUGAACUGGAACAGGGAAACGUCCCUGAGGUAAGAAUGUUGUGCUGUUCUUAGAUAAUUCUUUGCUCCCUCUCCCAAUCCGCUGGCGUUAAACCUAAAAUUGCUCUCUGAUGAACUUAAUCAAUAUGAUAAUGACAAUUGGGGCUGAAUGGCUCGGCCUGGGCUCGGCACGGAAAAGGUAGAUGGCUGUGCCCAUAGCCUAAAAGCAACUUCUCCUUUCUCGCUUCUUUUGUGUGCACUGCUCCCACCUUUCUUUCUCUCUCUCCCCCUCUUCCCCCCUCUCCGUGACACCGACCGCUGCUCACGCUGGAGAAUGAUGCUUCUUUGUGCGGCAGGAGGACUCGUAUGUCACCGCCCGGAGGAGCGGAGCGGAGCGAUUGGCCGGCUUGACUUUGAAUUUCCUUAAGUGCCAGAACAAGGAUGAGGUGCCGGAUAGUGCAUUGCCGUGUGCUAUAUUUAGAAAGCAGCUGGAAGAGAAAAUGUCCUCAGGAAUCCGGACUGUUUUGUUGUAAAUGUCCCUCCAGUCCCAGCACUGUAAACGUAAACGCUCGUUCUACAGACGUGUCAGCGCUUGGCGCUACCUGGGAGAGCUGGGUGUCAUGCCUGGCGUUAGCACAGAGGAGGGCCUGGCUCCACCUCGGGCUGCCUGGGGAAUUCUGAGUUAUCCAACAUCAGACUGCCAUAGUGCUCAGCGUGCCUGAUGACCGUGGAAAGGAAGAGUCCCAGCACCUCAAGCUGGGUAGACCAAUGGGACAUACCAUUGAAAACCACUGCUCAAAGGGCCUAGUGAAAUCAUGGGCCAACACCCUUUCUAACCAAGCCAGUGCCCAAUGGGAGAAGGACCAGGCUUCUAAUGUGAGGAAAAACACGCGGUGACAAGUGUGGAAAAGAGCAAGCACUAAAUUACUGUCAGAAAAAUAAACGGCGGAGCGCGGCGCGGGGCGGUGAUUUACGGGGGCAAUUAGUCACCGCCCCACGGAGCCGCUGAGGCCGGCGGGGCCGCCGCAGCAUCCCUGGGGGCUGACCCGGCUCUGGCUCCUGGCCCAGGACUGCACCCAGCACGGGCACCCAGGGCUUGUCCCGCUCCCGUGCUUCAUUUUUUGCCUACCCCAAAAAUAGGGGUGCAGGAGAAGAGAGGAGCCACCCCAAAAGCCACAGUCUCUGUUAGUGGAGAAAGUGGAGGCUCUCCGGGUCUGCUUGUUCAUCGUGGUGAGUGGCUCGUGCCCAGGUGUGUGGGGUGAUUGAAGAAGUGAGUGGGUACCAUUAAAUGAAAAAUACUCUUAGAGAAUGGAGUCAGGAAAGUGGGGGUGGAAGAGCUGCUGGGCCAGGUGAGAGGGUGGAGGUGGCUCUGCAGCUACUGUGUCUUCUGGAGCUGCUGUGGGCCAUUGAGCCUCCCAGUCUCAGGGAAUGGCUCUGCUGCUAACUGGGAGUGGACAUUAUAAAGGUAUCUAUGCACUGUUGUUUCACUAGGGUGGAGUCCAGGAGAGAUGUUUUCAUUUGAAGCUAGCAGCAAAGAAAUCAUGGACUGUUCAAGCUCCAGUUCAGCCUGGGACCAUGACAAUGAGCCCCCAGCCAGCGUGUUGUGGGGCAUCUGAGGGGGGAAGUUGGAAGGACCCCCAAGUCCCUGGUCUAGCAUGGUCCUUAUCUGGACCUUGUGGCUGGGGUGCCAGGGCCUGAGAGACUCCAAUUCCUAUCUUUAGGGACCACACUGACACUCCUUUGCCCCAACUCAUGUUACUGGAUCUACUUCAAAUGUGUAGUGGUUUUGUAACUUUUUACCCCGUCUGCUCCCAUUGACCUACCAGUCCUUACUUACUUGGUGCCUGGAUGUCAAUUUUCAUUUUCUAAGGCUUUAUUGGCCACCUAGGCCUUAUGUCUGUCCCCUGAGCAGGGGACAGCAUUAUCUGACUUUGGAUGCAUGCUGCCAUUAGACCUGCCAGCCUGGUGUCUGGCUCCUCCAAAUAGUUGGCACUUGGAUAAUGGGAGACAGUCUGUCCGAGCUCACUGUAACAGCUGGUGCCAGCCAGCUCUUCAAGGACUGGUGCCAGCAUCAGGAGGAGUGCGCCAGGGUCUGCUCAUCAAACAGACCAGCACCCGACCCAUGGCUGCCACUGGGGGACAAAGGGAAAAGCAGCAGAGCAAGUCCCUCUUGACAUGGCACCUCUUGGGAAAGACAGGCAUGUGCCUUUUGAAAGAGGAUGGAAGCUGGAGGAUGAAGAGCUGUUGCAGGUCCCAGUAACUUCAAUAAAUGGCCUUCUCUCCCUGUUCCACUUUCCCAGCUGGUGGGAAGCAUGUGAUACCUGCCUUUGGGAAGCACUAGAGACUUAUGAACGAUCACAGAGGUAAAGCAGUAGUGGUUAUUUUGGGGUCUGCCCUUGGCUGCUUCCUAGCUUUCUGGAAGUGUUCUUGCAGGGACGUGGUGUGGGUGUCUGCAUGCACAAGGUGCUUCUGGUGCUCCCCUUCCCUUGUCGUGGUAGAGUCCUCCUGCUCCCACAGGUUGCUGGGCUGUCUCCUAUAAGUGAUGUGACCAGCAUCUCUCAUGUAAUUUUUCUUCCUCCCACUGGAAAAAUUGUUUGUUUAUGUUCUUUAAAUAAAUAUUUAAUAUCUUUCAUUCUUGUCUACUGUGCUGCUUGUUUUCAUUAUUGAAGGUAAUGUCAGAGUUCUUUGAGGAGGAAGUGGAGAGAGGAGCAUGAACCAUCCAUCUCAUGGGAAUUUCUUCCAUGUAUUUCAGAUUGGUUCCUAAGAAAGUGCUGUUUUCUGCAGAGAUGUGCUUGAAACUGGUGUGAGGUACUUCUGAAGCUUGGAGCGACAGCUUUUCCCAGCAUCACUGGUACACUCUGGGCAUGGCUCCAUGGCUGUGCUGAAGGCACAGACAAUGUUCGUGAACCUUACUGUAUUCGAUGAGAAGCCAACAGGGAGUAUGGAGGAAAGGUUUGAUAUGAAUGCAAAAUAAAAAUUCCAGUUGGGAUGCUACUUGAAAGUAGAUACAAGGCCCUUACACCUCACAAGUAACUUAUUUUUUCCACAACCAGGGAUUACUUCUGGGAUAUGUGGCCACAGCAGAAUGCAAGCACAAGGACAGGGUUUAUCCCCAUGUUUUGUCCAAUUAGUUAGCAUCCAUGAUGGUGGGUGCCUGUGUGAGAGGAUCUGGGACUCUCGGCAUUCCUCCAGUGUUGUCUCUGACACUGUCUAAUGUAAGUUAUCUGGAGUCCUCAGCGAUGUUGAGUCUCCUGUUCUCUCCAUCUGUGCUUUCCUACCUGCCAGCUCUUGGAUAACUUGCUGCUCCCCUCACUGCUUUCACCACCCAUGCUGCUGGAGUUGUAAAGAAAGGGGUCAACCCUGGACCUCCUGCUCUCCAGGUGUCUGAAGCUCUGACAUCUGCUCUGUGGGAGAAGAAAGCUCCUAACCAACUUCUCUUCAAGCCUGCUAGCAAAGGGAUCUGUGAGAGGGUGUUUUACAACUUCUGAAGAAGUAAUGAAGUCGGGUCACUGAGUGGGAGCUUAAAGUUUGUAGAUGCUUGAGGCACGUCGCUACACAGGAGGCCCCAAGGAAAUGGAUGACUGGAAUUUUAGUUUUCGUCUCCUCUGAGAUGAAAGGCCAAACUUCUACUGACUGACUUUCUUCAAGACUCACUUCUCUUCAGUUUCUCCAGACUGAGUCUCUGGGGGUGAUGCUCUUGAACUGAUCAACCCUCCUGCAAAGGAUUAAGGAUGUGCACAUGCCAUCGUGAGAGGAGGAAUGCAUAUGCUUUAGGAACGGACUUUAUAGCAAGCAUUUUUGCGUUUUUCACUGCUAUGUCGGAUGACUGUCUUGGAUGAAGCUGUCCAAAAUGACAAGUGGCUGCAGCAACUUUAAACUCCCCCAAGUAAAAAAACCUGGAAAGUUCAGCUCUCAUUAAGGAGCACCUGCCCUCGGAACAGAUUAUAUUUCGAGCUGCACUGGACAAGGACUUAUUGGAAGAUAAAUGGAAGUCAAUACUAGGCUUUUUUAAAGUAAACAAUAAAUAGACUUUUCUCUUCCCUGUACAAAUAGCCUCUUCUCUACACCACCUUCUUGGUGCUGAAAGACAGAAGGAAGGAAAGGUUAUCUGAGUUACUCCUCUGUCUAAUGAUAAUUAAAACUAAUAGAUCCCCAAGGAUGCUGAUGGAAUGCAAUGUAUUUGGAACAUGCCAAAGUGACUCCAGAUAUUUCCAUUGUUUGAGUAAAGUAUGUGGGUCUGGUCCUUACCUGCAGAGUAGAUUAAGUAGUUCUUUGCCCGUAGCUCAGCCAUAGGAUCUGCCUGUUCCCUCUCCCUGUCCUCUAGCUUAGCACAGGGGUCUCAGCACUGGGUCUUCUCUGCUGGACCCUACACUACAGUGAUGGCUGUAGCCAAGUGGAAAAUGUUGGGCUAGGCAACUGGAGCAACUCCAGCAACCCGGCUGCCCUAGAGAGAAUGCAACAUCUGGGCAGCUGUGGGCUCCUCUCUGUCCCCCUCCCUCUGUAGUGCCAGGAAGGGCUCCCUGCCUUGGUGGUACCCACCUGGCUUCAAACCCAUCUGCUGCAGCCCCUUGUGUGGGAGCAGGCAGUAGUCCUGCUGCCCUGGCUUCUUGCAUCCUCCAGGCUGAGGGCUCUGCGCUGCACUGUGGAGGCAUCCAAAAUGGGAGGAUGGGUAGCACCACCCAUCUUAGCCUGAGUAGAAAUGGAUGAUACCAUAGCUGUAGGAAAUGGGUAAGUCAGCAUUGCAGUCCUUAAUUAUUGAAUGUCUGGAGCAGAGAUGUAAGAUGGUCUUAAAUAUCUUAAUGUUAAAGAAAAAUAAGUUUGAAAGGUGUUUGUAUUUGUUUUCUAGCACUUGCUCUUGAAUUUGGCUCGUGACCACACGGACUUGCUGUUCAGUGGGACUGCCAUCCUGAGGAUUGAGGUGAUCAAGUAGAUCUGGGGGCCAGAGCUGCUUCAGGAAAAUGCUGAAUCCUCCAAUGUCUGCAGCAUGAUGCCGGAGUUGCAGCGGUGAGGCUGUCAGGGCUCUAGUCUGCACACAAAGAGGGAAGACUGAGGUUGUCAAAGAGCGGGUAGCAAAACGUCACAGUGGGCAAUGGCUUCACCCCCUCUCUCUGGGGUGGCAGGAUGCACAUGGAGGGCUGUUACCUAUGGAGGUUUUCACCUUUUUCAUGGUUUUUGUGGGGACUGCUGGAUCAGCCCAUGCUGAUGUGCUAGUUGGUGGUUCCUGAUGAGAAGCCAGUGGUGUGAUGGGCUAUCGAGGGCCGCCACUUCAGUUCAGCAUGAAAGCAGUGAGCUGGAGCAAAGGUCCUGCUCUGCCAAGCCUGGCCUGUUUGCCAUUGAAAUCCCUGCUAGCAAUUUUUCCUUUAAUGAUCUUUAUGACAGGCAGAGAAAGCACCAUUGUUUGCUUAGUUUGCUUUAAAAAUAGUUUUCUAAAUUUGCAAGCGACAGUUCAAUGCGUGUCUGAAACCCAGUGCCCCAGGGUGUAUGGGAGCACCAGUAACCGCAAACAUGGCACGAGCUUGUGGGGACAUGGGAAAUGGCAGCACUAGGGAUACUAAUGUGAUUAAGUCGUGUACAACUCAAUUAGUUUCCCUUUUCCUCCCAUGGAAGGUGGCAGGCCUGGCUGGUUGCUUGCUGGUGGAUGAAGACAUCACAUUCAAGGUCACACUGAGUGCACGGUGGCACUGAAGCCACGCAGUUCCAGUUUGACCCUGGCCACGCGGGGCCACUCUGGCAGAGCUGGGAGCAGAGGACAAGCAGCCCCUCAGGUCUCCAUCCUGCAUGGAAAGACCUUCUCCUGCUGAGGCAAGCUGAUGUCUCAUGGAAGAGCUCCUCCUCAUCUGCUCCUCUUCCCUGGCUCACAGGAUGCAGGAUGCUGAUCUCUGUCUCUGAGUAGGUCCUGAGCUGGGCUCUGUGUUGGCCUGUUCCUGUCCCACACCCAGCACUGAUUGGGAUGCAGCCAGCGACUACCAGACACUGCCUAGGAUGGGCAUGGGCUUGGACAAGGGAUCCUCACACCACCUUGGAGAUCAGAUGUGGGACACCCCAGAACGUGCACAAGGCACCUGUGCUGCUGGCCUUGGCAGAGGAGAGAAAACUGGGAAGGAGAGCUCAAUACCUCCGCUUGCAGCUGUGUGCUUGUGUGGUAGAGAACGGGAAAGGCGGAAGGCAACGGAGAGCCGCUGCCCGGGCGACGGGGCUGGCUGGCCGGGACGAGCAGACCGUGGCCGCGCUCGCUCCGCGCCUGGCACCUCGCUGCUCCGCGCCGUUUUGUUCCCGCUGGGAAACGUUCUGUAGCGUCUCUUGCAACGGCCCCAAUUACUCCGAGGUACAAUAUAUUUUCGCCUGGAUUAGACGGCGAGUCUGUUGGCACAGUGUAAAUGUCAAGCAGCAGCUUUUAAUAAAGGGAUGUUCAGACUGUUAAAUUUCACAGUACAACGGGCUCGGCCCCUCCCGGCCUCCUCCAGCCCCCCCUCCCUCCGAGCUGUGGUGCUGCCAGUGAGCCAACACGACUGCGCACCAAAAUCCGAGUGGGAAGUAACCCAUCCCGAGGCCGAAAUGCUGCGUCCUGCCAUCCCCGAAAUGCUUGGCAGAGGGACCCCCAGACCCCCGCACUGUGCUCCUGGGGAUCCCCUUCAGUGGGGCGGGGCCUUCCCGUUGGGGGCCAAGGUGGCAGUUGCUGGACCCCGUUGGCCGGAGCUUGAGGCCGGUUCGCGGUGCCUGGGCUGGGACCGCCCUCCCGGCAGGGGUCGGUUGUCGAACCGGCACAUGAUAGCCCGUCCCUGCCGCUCGCUGCCCCCAGCCUCCAUCGGGCCAUUGAUUAGCGCUCUAAGUGCUGCUCUAAUUAGCUGCCUGCUAAUUAACGAGCGGCGCCCCGUCCGAGUUUUCUGAGUGGCACCUUCGCUCAUCGCUUUGAUUCGGU